Molecule: ribosomal RNA, 428 nt
Filed under: uncultured Bacillus sp.
Lineage: Bacteria; Bacillati; Bacillota; Bacilli; Caryophanales; Bacillaceae
Description: partial 16S ribosomal RNA
Rfam family: Bacterial small subunit ribosomal RNA
Source: RNAcentral
UAGGGAAUCUUCCGCAAUGGACGAAAGUCUGACGGAGCAACGCCGCGUGAGUGAUGAAGGCCUUCGGGUCGUAAAGCUCUGUUGUUAGGGAAGAACAAGUAGUAUUCGAAUAGGGUGCUACCUUGACGGUACCUAACCAGAAAGCCACGGCUAACUACGUGCCAGCAGCCGCGGUAAUACGUAGGUGGCGAGCGUUAUCCGGAAUUAUUGGGCGUAAAGCGCGCGCAGGUGGUUUCUUAAGUCUGAUGUGAAAGCCCACGGCUCAACCGUGGAGGGUCAUUGGAAACUGGGAGACUUGAGUGCAGGAGAGGAAAGUGGAAUUCCAAGUGUAGCGGUGAAAUGCGUAGAGAUUUGGAGGAACACCAGUGGCGAAGGCGACUUUCUGGCCUGUAACUGACACUGAGGCGCGAAAGCGUGGGGAGCAAACA